This 508-nucleotide ribosomal RNA is filed under the name uncultured prokaryote. RNAcentral's name for it is "bacterial SSU rRNA". It matches the Rfam family "Archaeal small subunit ribosomal RNA", at positions 361 to 870 of the family's 1478-position model. The record is from RNAcentral.
GAAACCGCGAUAAGGGGACCCCGAGUGCCAGUACCUAGUACUGGCUGUCCCGCUGUUUAAAUAACAGUGGUUAGCAAGGGCCGGGCAAGACCGGUGCCAGCCGCCGCGGUAACACCGGCGGCCCGAGUGGUAGCCGUUAUUAUUGGGUUUAAAGGGUCCGUAGCCGGCUUAUUAAGUCUCUUGGGAAAUCUGGCGACUUAAUCGUCAGGCGUCCAAGAGAUACUGAUAGGCUUGGGACCGGGAGAGGUGGGAGGUACUCCAGGGGUAGGGGUGAAAUCUCGUAAUCCUUGGGGGACCACCGAUGGCGAAGGCAUCCCACCAGAACGGGUCCGACGGUGAGGGACGAAAGCUGGGGGCACGAACCGGAUUAGAUACCCGGGUAGUCCCAGCUGUAAACGAUGCUCGCUAGGUGUCAGAUGCGGUGCGACCGCAUCUGGUGCCGCAGUGAAAACUUGAAGCGAGUCACCUGGGAAGUACCGUCGCAGGCUGAAACUUAAAGGAAUUGGCG